Long non-coding RNA from Uranotaenia lowii, 700 nucleotides. RefSeq lists it as uncharacterized. The transcript is spliced from 3 exons. NCBI's taxonomy places the organism in Eukaryota, Metazoa, Arthropoda, Insecta, Diptera, Culicidae. The record is from RefSeq and is a predicted model, not a curated record.
AAUACAUCUUUGAUUCAAAAACCUCAUGUACAUUGAAACAAAAUCCAUUUUCCUUAAUUCGAGUAAAUUUUAUAUUGAACCGAAUUUUUAUUUCAUUGAACCAAUGUUCCAAGUUUUCGAAUCAAAAUAUUUAAAUUAAUUUCAAGGAAUUUUUGUUUUGACUCUGAAUCAAUGUAAAAAUUCAUUGAUUUAGAUGAAUUUUCUUUUGAAUCAAAUAAUUUUUUCGUCAAACAUUCGACACAUCUUGAUUAGCUACUGUUUGGUGAACGGGUCGGCGAGAAGUUUUUCGACGACCAGUCAUUCAUUUUCUGGGAAAUCUUCCUGCCGCGCAACAGUCAGAAAGCACCGGAAUCAUAAGAUCCGGCGCAGGAAAGUCUUGACGGCUAGAGGCCAAACGAUAGUGGACUAGGGCAACCAUUCAUCCAACUAAUCGCUACCGAUCUGGUCCAAGGAGACAUCUGGCGUCGAAACCCUUCAUGAGUUGUUCGAAAGGAACUGUCCGCCAACAAAUCAAUGUGCCGGUUCAAAACUACAGGGAAAAUCGAUAAUGUGAUGAACUUACAAAUUCGACUUACAAAUGAAUAAAAUGUUUUAAACCAUAAGUGAUUUCUUUUAUUUCCAAUUGGACGAAAAUUAAUAUAAAGUACUAGAAUUUUUAGAAACAAAACAUAGAAUGGAAAAACAAAUGCUUUAAAAUUGA